This is a non-coding RNA of Paramuricea clavata, 212 nucleotides long. The record is from the annotation of a GenBank genome assembly. Lineage: Eukaryota; Metazoa; Cnidaria; Anthozoa; Malacalcyonacea; Plexauridae.
UUUGUUCAGAUGGUCAAUUCAGGGAAAGUAUUCAUACUCGACUACCAAUUGCUUCAUGGUAUUGAUACCCUUGAGGACUACACGGAACGGAACACUACAGACAGGCGAGAAAUGAGGGGAUCACGAAGUCCGUUCUGUACGUUUGUUGUAGCCAACGUGGGAGGUGUUAAGAAAUUGAAACCAGUCGCGAUUCAGACGGACUUAUUUUCAGG